Molecule: ribosomal RNA, 251 nt
Filed under: uncultured Gardnerella sp.
Lineage: Bacteria; Bacillati; Actinomycetota; Actinomycetes; Bifidobacteriales; Bifidobacteriaceae
Description: partial 16S ribosomal RNA
Rfam family: Bacterial small subunit ribosomal RNA
Source: RNAcentral
CGGGUGAGUAAUGCGUGACCAACCUGCCCCAUGCUCCAGAAUAGCUCUUGGAAACGGGUGGUAAUGCUGGAUGCUCCAACUUGACGCAUGUCUUGUUGGGAAAGUGUUUAGUGGCAUGGGAUGGGGUCGCGUCCUAUCAGCUUGUAGGCGGGGUAAUGGCCCACCUAGGCUUCGACGGGUAGCCGGCCUGAGAGGGCGGACGGCCACAUUGGACUGAGAUACGGCCCAGACUCCUACGGGAGGCAGCAGAG